CCUACGGGUGGCAGCAGUCGAGAAUCAUUCACAAUGGGGGAAACCCUGAUGGUGCGACGCCGCGUGGGGGAAUGAAGGUCUUCGGAUUGUAAACCCCUGUCAUGUGGGAGCAAAUUAAAAAGAUAGUACCACAAGAGGAAGAGACUGCUAACUCUGUGCCAGCAGCCGCGGUACUACAGAGGUCUCAAGCGUUGUUCGGAAUCACGGGGCGUAAAGCGUGCGUAGGCUGUUUCGUAAGUCGUGUGUGAAAGGCGCGGGCUCAACCCGCGGACGGCACAUGAUACUGCGAGACUAGAGUAAUGGAGGGGGAACCGGAAUUCUCGGUGUAGCAGUGAAAUGCGUAGAUAUCGAGAGGAACACUCGUGGCGAAGGCGGGUUCCUGGACAUUAACUGACGCUGAGGCACGAAGGCCAGGGGAGCGAAAGGGACUAGAUACCCCUGUAAUC
This 446-nucleotide ribosomal RNA is filed under the name uncultured bacterium. RNAcentral describes it as "partial 16S ribosomal RNA". It matches the Rfam family "Bacterial small subunit ribosomal RNA", at positions 338 to 795 of the family's 1533-position model. The record is from RNAcentral.